GCUGGACCAGCUGCCCUUAGACUAUGAAGAGGUGGGGGAAACUGAAGGAGACCAUCUGUUAGAUGAGAGAAAGACUGAAGGUAGUCCAGAAGAUCACGGUAACGCCUCUAUGCCAAAGAAGAUGCAAGAAACACAGUCAGUAGAUACACUGGAGUACUACAAUGAUUCCCCUGCACAUCAGAAGCUUGAAUAUGAUGAUGUCACAGUUGACCAGACCAGUGACUAUGACGAUGUUGCUGUGGAGCAAAGCCUGAAGUCUCAGUUAGGACACAGAACUAUUCCAACAUCACUGACCCAUGACGAAAAACUCCCUAAAGCUGACA
Scleropages formosus (Asian bonytongue) is the source of this 323-nucleotide long non-coding RNA. RefSeq lists it as uncharacterized. Lineage: Eukaryota; Metazoa; Chordata; Actinopteri; Osteoglossiformes; Osteoglossidae. The record is from RefSeq and is a predicted model, not a curated record. The transcript has 4 exons.